This 440-nucleotide ribosomal RNA is filed under the name uncultured bacterium. Its description in RNAcentral is "partial 16S ribosomal RNA". It matches the Rfam family "Bacterial small subunit ribosomal RNA", at positions 338 to 795 of the family's 1533-position model. The record is from RNAcentral.
CCUACGGGUGGCAGCAGUGGGGAAUAUUGCACAAUGGGGGAAACCCUGAUGCAGCGACGCCGCGUGAGUGAAGAAGUAAUUCGUUAUGUAAAGCUCUAUCAGCAGGGAAGAAAAUGAUGGUACCUGUGUAAUAAGCCCCGGCUAACUACGUGCCAGCAGCCGCGGUAAUACGGAGGGGGCAAGCGUUAACCGGAUUGACUGGGAGAAAAGGGAGCGGAGACGGCAGUGCAAGUCUGGUGUGAAAGGCGGGGGCUCAACCCCCGGACUGCACUGGAAACUGUACGGCUGGAGUGCAGGAGAGGUGAGUAGAAUUCCUAGUGUAGCGGUGAAAUGCGUAGAUAUUAGGAGGAACACCAGUGGCGAAGGCGGCUUACUGGACUGUAACUGACGUUGAGGCUCGAAAGCGUGGGGAGCAAACAGGAUUAGAUACCCUUGUAGUC